AUUCCAGACUCCUACGGGAGGCAGCAGUGGGGAAUAUUGGGCAAUGGGCGCAAGCCUGACCCAGCAACGCCGCGUGAAGGAAGAAGGCUUUCGGGUUGUAAACUUCUUUUCUCAGGGACGAAGAAAGUGACGGUACCUGAGGAAUAAGCCACGGCUAACUACGUGCCAGCAGCCGCGGUAAUACGUAGGUGGCAAGCGUUAUCCGGAUUUAUUGGGUGUAAAGGGCGUGUAGGCGGGAGCGCAAGUCAGAUGUGAAAACUCAGGGCUCAACCCUGAGCCUGCAUUUGAAACUGUCAGGCUGGAGUGCAGGAGAGGUAAGUGGAAUUCCUAGUGUAGCGGUGAAAUGCGUAGAUAUACGGAGGAACACCAGUGGCGAAGGCGGAUUGCUGGACAGUAACUGACGCUGAGGCGCGAAAGCGUGGGGAGCAAACAGGAUUAGAUACCCCUGUA
RNAcentral lists this ribosomal RNA (450 nucleotides) under uncultured bacterium. RNAcentral's name for it is "bacterial SSU rRNA". It matches the Rfam family "Bacterial small subunit ribosomal RNA", at positions 328 to 792 of the family's 1533-position model. The record is from RNAcentral.